UAGGGAAUCUUCCGCAAUGGGCGAAAGCCUGACGGAGCAACGCCGCGUGAGUGAUGAAGGUCUUCGGAUCGUAAAACUCUGUUAUUAGGGAAGAACAAAUGUGUAAGUAACUAUGCACGUCUUGACGGUACCUAAUCAGAAAGCCACGGCUAACUACGUGCCAGCAGCCGCGGUAAUACGUAGGUGGCAAGCGUUAUCCGGAAUUAUUGGGCGUAAAGCGCGCGUAGGCGGUUUUUGAAGUCUGAUGUGAAAGCCCACGGCUCAACCGGGGAGGGUCAUUGGAAACUGGAAAACUUGAGUGCAGAAGAGGAAAGUGGAAAUCCAUGUGUAGCGGUGAAAUGCGCAGAGAUAUGGAGGAACACCAGUGGCGAAGGCGACUUUCUGGUCUGUAACUGACGCUGAUGUGCGAAAGCGUGGGGAUCAAACAGG
This 429-nucleotide ribosomal RNA is filed under the name Actinomycetes bacterium. RNAcentral's name for it is "Actinobacteria bacterium partial 16S ribosomal RNA". It matches the Rfam family "Bacterial small subunit ribosomal RNA", at positions 355 to 776 of the family's 1533-position model. Lineage: Bacteria; Bacillati; Actinomycetota; Actinomycetes. The record is from RNAcentral.